RNAcentral lists this ribosomal RNA (313 nucleotides) under Paramyla suspecta. RNAcentral describes it as "partial large subunit ribosomal RNA". The stretch from base 1 to 185 matches the Rfam family "Bacterial large subunit ribosomal RNA", at positions 1776 to 2021 of the family's 2925-position model. Lineage: Eukaryota; Metazoa; Arthropoda; Insecta; Hemiptera; Coreidae. The record is from RNAcentral.
AACUCGGCAAAUUUAAUUUUCGCCUGUUUAACAAAAACAUGUCCUAUAGAUUAUUGAUUUUAGGUCUAACCUGCCCAAUGAUUAUAAUUUAAUGGCUGCAGUAUUAUAACUGUACAAAGGUAGCAUAAUCAUUUGUCUUUUAAUUGAAGGCUUGAAUGAAUGGUUGGACGAAAAAUUAACUUUCUUUACUUAAUUUUUAUGAAUUUAAUUUUUUAGUUAAAAAGCUUAAAUGUUUUUGCAAGACGAGAAGACCCUAUAGAAUUUUAUUUUAUUAAUUUUAUUAUUUAUUUGGUUUUUAAUUUAUUUAAUAUAA